This 253-nucleotide ribosomal RNA is filed under the name uncultured bacterium. RNAcentral describes it as "partial 16S ribosomal RNA". It matches the Rfam family "Bacterial small subunit ribosomal RNA", at positions 524 to 776 of the family's 1533-position model. The record is from RNAcentral.
UACGAAGGGGGCUAGCGUUGCUCGGAAUCACUGGGCGUAAAGCGCACGUAGGCGGCUCUUUAAGUCAGGGGUGAAAUCCUGGAGCUCAACUCCAGAACUGCCUUUGAUACUGGGGAUCUCGAGUCCGGGAGAGGUGAGUGGAACUGCGAGUGUAGAGGUGAAAUUCGUAGAUAUUCGCAAGAACACCGGUGGCGAAGGCGGCGACCUGGGUAGAUACUGACGCUGAGGAGCGAAAGCGUGGGGAGCAAACAGG